RNAcentral lists this ribosomal RNA (468 nucleotides) under uncultured bacterium. Its description in RNAcentral is "partial 16S ribosomal RNA". It matches the Rfam family "Bacterial small subunit ribosomal RNA", at positions 28 to 507 of the family's 1533-position model. The record is from RNAcentral.
GACGAACGCUGGCGGCGUGCUUAACACAUGCAAGUCGAACGGAAAGGCCCUGCUUUUGUGGGGUUCUCGAGUGGCGAACGGGUGAGUAACACGUGAGUAACCUGCCCUUGACUUUGGGAUAACUUCAGGAAACUGGGGCUAAUACCGGAUAGGAGCUCCUGCUGCUUGGUGGGGGUUGGAAAGUUUCGGCGGUUGGGGAUGGACUCGCGGCUUAUCAGCUUGUUGGUGGGGUAGUGGCUUACCAAGGCUUUGACGGGUAGCCGGCCUGAGAGGGUGACCGGCCACAUUGGGACUGAGAUACGGCCCAGAAUCCUACGGGAGGCAGCAGUGGGGAAUAUUGCACAAUGGGCGGAAGCCUGAUGCAGCAACGCCGCGUGCGGGAUGACGGCCUUCGGGUUGUAAACCGCUUUCGCCUGUGACGAAGCGUGAGUGACGGUAAUGGGUAAAGAAGCACCGGCUAACUACGUG